Molecule: ribosomal RNA, 584 nt
Filed under: Hygrotus unguicularis
Lineage: Eukaryota; Metazoa; Arthropoda; Insecta; Coleoptera; Dytiscidae
Description: SSU rRNA
Rfam family: Eukaryotic small subunit ribosomal RNA
Source: RNAcentral
AGUCAUAUGCUUGUCUCAAAGAUUAAGCCAUGCAUGUCUCAGUACAAGCCUAAUUAAGGUGAAACCGCGAAAGGCUCAUUAAAUCAGUUAUGGUUCCUUAGAUCGUACCCACAUUUACUUGGAUAACUGUGGUAAUUCUAGAGCUAAUACAUGCAAACAGAGCUCCGACCGGAGACGGGAGGAGUGCUUUUAUUAGAUCAAAACCAAUCGGCGGCGGGCGCGUUCGCGCGUCCGUUCGCCGCUCAAACUGGUGACUCUGAAUAACUUUCCGCUGAUCGCACGGUCUCGCACCGGCGACGCAUCUUUCAAAUGUCUGCCUUAUCAACUGUCGAUGGUAGGUUCUGCGCCUACCAUGGUCGUAACGGGUAACGGGGAAUCAGGGUUCGAUUCCGGAGAGGGAGCCUGAGAAACGGCUACCACAUCCAAGGAAGGCAGCAGGCGCGCAAAUUACCCACUCCCGGCACGGGGAGGUAGUGACGAAAAAUAACGAUACGGGACUCAUCCGAGGCCCCGUAAUCGGAAUGAGUACACUUUAAAUCCUUUAACGAGGAUCAAUUGGAGGGCAAGUCUGGUGCCAGCAGCCG